Molecule: long non-coding RNA, 2399 nt
Organism: Carassius auratus (goldfish)
Lineage: Eukaryota; Metazoa; Chordata; Actinopteri; Cypriniformes; Cyprinidae
Source: Ensembl
AAUGCAAUUAUUUUAAAGAGAGGUGAUUCUUUUCUUUAAUCACUGUAUGUGUAUAUAUGUGUAUAAAUAUGAUUUAUUUCUUUAGUUUUUUUUUUUUUUAUCCUCGUAUGCUUGACUUUAUCCCUAAAGGUAUACAAAACAUGUAGUCUCCCAUUUGCUUUAAGCAUCAUUGUCCCUCACUGCUCUUGAUUACUCGCCUAACAUUUGAUUCAUUUUACAUCAUUAUACUAUUAUUAUUAUUUAAUCCUGAUACUUUAUUUUGACGUUUUAAUCAGAACCAUUGAUUUGAAUAAUUAAAAGGCCACUUUGCCAUUAAAUAUUGACAAGAAUGUGGUCACCAUUUUCUAUAUAUUGUAGGGUUUAGUUGUUUCCAACCCUUCAUCUAUCUGUCUCAUCCUCAUCAUCCUCCUCAUAACAAUCAUCAGUAGUGUGUGUUUAUGACUGGGCUGGUUGCUGUGUUCGCUUGUCUGUAAAAUUAUGAAUGGGCUUUGGGGUGUGUGUGUGUGUGUGUGUGUGUGUGUGUGAGAGAGAGAGAGAGAGAGAGAGAGAGAGAAAGGGAGGGAUGGAAAGACCUUAUUCUGCACCGUGAAACGAGUAGGAUUCAGUCACUGGCUGCUCACCUUCACAGACAGACAAGGAGAAGGCUGCUUGGGUAGAUUGUGUUUGAGGAGACACUCAGUCUGAGCUCACGGCUAAAUCAUGGAUCAGAAGCCCACUUCACCCCAGAGACAUGCGGUGAAAAGCAGGUCAAAGUCUACAGAGGAAGUCCAGCAAGCUAAAAAGGCCUUCCACAUACCCCAGAAAUCACUGCCUGGAGGGUCAGAGCUGGAAAAGGUGAAGGAAGGACCAGAAGAAAAUGUGACUCCAGCAUCAUCCACAGAAGAGCUGAAGUGAUGCAGCCAUUCAUCUGUGUUUAUCUCACACACAAACACACACAUAAAGAUAAAUGCUUGUUUUUAUAUAUAAACAAGGUUUGAUUUAAAGUAUUAGCUCUUUCUUUUGUAAGGUGAUUUUCAGUACAGCUCAACACACGCAGAAACACGAAACACGUCGACCUGAAGCAUGUUAAGUCUGUCUGCGCUGCAUCUCUGUACACUGACAUGCUGUUUAUAUAAACUCAGUGCUUUCACUAUGAACAUCAGGGCAUGUGUGCUUUCACAUUUAAAGAAGCUCAAGCGAAAUUAGAUCAGUGGUUUGAUUAAAAUUGGAACUUUGUGGCUUUUUAGUCUAUAGCUUUGAGCUCGUCCAUAGAUAGAGUGAAAAUGCUAAUUACUUUUUUUGUGUGUGUGAAUAGUAUCUUUCUUUUAUUACCCAAUCAUAAUUUCUGCACAACCAGCAGAUGGUGUCAAUGUGUAAAUUUUGGCUGUCAUAUUAAUAGUUUUGAUGUUUGACAUUAUAAAUCUACAGAUACCCUAAGGGACUUGUUGAUGGAAAAAAUCUGAGAUGAAAGAAUUACAUUGCUUUUGUACUGAAUGCGUUUGCAUAUUGCAUUACAAAAGUGACAGAAAGCAAAGUUAGCAAGCGAACAUAAUCACGAUUUGCAAUUUUUUCCCUCACAUAUCAAAAUGAGUAAAUGCUUUUUUCUAUUUGAUAAAAACACUUACUGCGGGCUUGUUUCUACAAUGGGAUGUUUGUAGUACACUCCAGCUCUCAUGUUUUUGGGCCCAUGUGAGUCAAAUAGUGUUAAAUACUCAUCCGGCGACAUAUUUAUUGGCAUCAGCUGAAUCACAGAGCUGACAUACUGUAUGAGUCAGCUUAAGAUGUUGUGUAAGUGUUUAUAGUACAGUUUAAACCAUUUGUGCUAAUAAACUUUUGACCACUCAUCAUGCUAAAGUUCAGUGACUGAGUGAAUUUCAGAAACAGGAGUCACUCUCACAGCUGUAAACAAGAUACAUGAAGACUGUGCAGUCUGUUUAGUGCAAGCAAUUUGAGAGCAAAGUAAAAUUAAACUACCAUCAACAAAUGAUAAGAUGCGUUUUCUGAUAUUUACUUCCCUCUUAGGUCAUCUAGGAUGUAGAUGAGUUUGUUUCUUAAAGGGGGGGUGAAAUGCUAUUUCAUGCAUACUGAGUUUUUUACACUGUUAAAGAGUUGGAUUCCCAUGCUAAACAUGGACAAAGUUUCAAAAACUAAGUUGUACGUUUGAAGCAGUAUUUUUGUUCCAGAAAUACUCCUUCCGGUUUGUCACAAGUUUCGGAAAGUUUUUUUCGAGUAUGGCUCUGUGUGACGUUAGAUGGAGCGGAAUUUCCUUAUAUGGGUCCUGAGGGCACUUCUGCCGGAAGAGCGUGCGCUCCCGUAGAGCAGAGCACUGACUGAGAGCACAACAGACUUCACUGAUCAGAGCGAGAGAGUCGCGAAAUGUCACAAAAGAAGUGUGUUUUUGGUUGCGAGGGCAAGACAAC